Molecule: ribosomal RNA, 512 nt
Filed under: uncultured bacterium
Lineage: Bacteria
Description: partial 16S ribosomal RNA
Rfam family: Bacterial small subunit ribosomal RNA
Source: RNAcentral
GACGAACGCUGGCGGCGUGCCUAAUACAUGCAAGUCGAGCGAGCGGAACUAACAGAUUUACUUCGGUAAUGACGUUAGGAAAGCGAGCGGCGGAUGGGUGAGUAACACGUGGGGAACCUGCCCCAUAGUCUGGGAUACCACUUGGAAACAGGUGCUAAUACCGGAUAAGAAAGCAGAUCGCAUGAUCAGCUUUUAAAAGGCGGCGUAAGCUGUCGCUAUGGGAUGGCUCCGCGGUGCAUUAGCUAGUUGGUAAGGUAAAGGCUUACCAAGGCGAUGAUGCAUAGCCGAGUUGAGAGACUGAUCGGCCACAUUGGGACUGAGACACGGCCCAAACUCCUACGGGAGGCAGCAGUAGGGAAUCUUCCACAAAGGACGCAAGUCUGAUGGAGCAACGCCGCGUGAGUGAAGAAGGUUUUCGGAUCGUAAAGCUCUGUUGUUGGUGAAGAAGGAUAGAGGUAGUAACUGGCCUUUAUUUGACGGUAAUCAACCAGAAAGUCACGGCUAACUACGUG